RNAcentral lists this long non-coding RNA (372 nucleotides) under Phoenix dactylifera (date palm). Its description in RNAcentral is "long non-coding RNA (PDAC_LNC004083)". Lineage: Eukaryota; Viridiplantae; Streptophyta; Magnoliopsida; Arecales; Arecaceae. The record is from RNAcentral.
UGAGCAGGUGCUGCCGUGGGUUUUCAAAAGUUUUCGAUAUAUGUGCCACUUGAAGCCGGAAGUUUCCUGAAAUUAAGUGUAUGGUUUUAGGGAAUGAGUUGAAAAAGACAUGUCACUUAUCCAUUGCGAAGCAUUUGAUUGGUUGGGCAAAGCAGGUGGGAGGGCUUUCAUUAAUGGACCGGGGAAUUCCAACUUGGGUCAUAUAAGAGGAUUUCCAGUCCAUGGAGCAGAGGGUUAAGCAGUGGUUCCGAGUGUGUGAGAUCUGUCUUUGUAUGAAGUCAGGCUGCCCGCCAUACGGCUAUCAAGGGAGAUGGGCCCAAAGAGACAGGAUGUGGUGGCCUGUCUCUGUCUUUGAAAUAAGGGUGAAGGUGG